AUGGCUUUGGCUUGCGGGGUUAACAGGAGUAGACUGGGAGGUUAUCUGGAUUGAUAGAGCCAACAUCUCAAGAAUGGAACCAAACAAAAGGAAAAAAGGAAAAGGAAGGAAGAAUCUUACAGCGCCUUUAAUGUUGAAAUUUAAAGUUCAAAGCGGAGUAGUACUUCCAAAUGGUCUACAUUCUGAAUAAGAAGACUGCAGCUAUAUGUUUUCAUCAACACAGUGGAGAAAAAGGCUGUUUAUUUUAUCUUUCAUUCCAACCAAACUGGAGACAAGGUUCA
This is a long non-coding RNA of Callorhinchus milii (elephant shark), 281 nucleotides long. RefSeq lists it as uncharacterized. NCBI's taxonomy places the organism in Eukaryota, Metazoa, Chordata, Chondrichthyes, Chimaeriformes, Callorhinchidae. The record is from RefSeq and is a predicted model, not a curated record. The transcript has 3 exons.